This 490-nucleotide ribosomal RNA is filed under the name uncultured bacterium. Its description in RNAcentral is "partial 16S ribosomal RNA". It matches the Rfam family "Bacterial small subunit ribosomal RNA", at positions 28 to 507 of the family's 1533-position model. The record is from RNAcentral.
GAUGAACGCUAGCUACAGGCUUAACACAUGCAAGUCGAGGGGCAGCAUGGUCUUAGCUUGCUAAGGCCGAUGGCGACCGGCGCACGGGUGAGUAACACGUAUCCAACCUGCCGUCUACUCUUGGACAGCCUUCUGAAAGGAAGAUUAAUACAAGAUGGCAUCAUGAGUCCGCAUGUUCACAUGAUUAAAGGUAUUCCGGUAGACGAUGGGGAUGCGUUCCAUUAGAUAGUAGGCGGGGUAACGGCCCACCUAGUCUUCGAUGGAUAGGGGUUCUGAGAGGAAGGUCCCCCACAUUGGAACUGAGACACGGUCCAAACUCCUACGGGAGGCAACAGUGAGGAAUAUUGGUCAAUGGGCGCAGGCCUGAACCAGCCAAGUAGCGUGAAGGAUGACUGCCCUAUGGGUUGUAAACUUCUUUUAUAAAGGAAUAAAGUCGGGUAUGUAUACCCGUUUGCAUGUACUUUAUGAAUAAGGAUCGGCUAACUCCGUG